CUAAUUUAGAGUCCUCGAUGCAUUUGCUGAAGGCUAAAGGAUGUGGAGGAGGGAGCAAAGGCCCUCUAAGGCAAAACCCAUCCUGUAGUCAGUCCUUAGAGAGAUCUCCAGCUCCCUCAGCACUUUGGUGGAUUCCUGCACCCUCCGACGAAACUUCUGUAAACAUAAAGAACUCCCUGUUUACAGUGCAAUCAUUCCUUUUAUUUUACAAAUGAACCAUGAUCUGCAGGAGCAGGAUUGACCAUCAGCUCUUCCAGCCCUCUUACCUGGUCGCAAAUAAGGUCCCAUUUCUUCUCGUUGUCGUAUUGCCGCAGAAGACGG
This is a long non-coding RNA of Candoia aspera, 321 nucleotides long. RefSeq lists it as uncharacterized. The record is from RefSeq and is a predicted model, not a curated record. The transcript has 3 exons. Lineage: Eukaryota; Metazoa; Chordata; Lepidosauria; Squamata; Candoiidae.